Nippostrongylus brasiliensis is the source of this 72-nucleotide non-coding RNA. NCBI's taxonomy places the organism in Eukaryota, Metazoa, Nematoda, Chromadorea, Rhabditida, Heligmosomidae. The record is from Rfam.
ACAUCGGUUGCACAGUGGUCAGUGCAGUCUGUCGGAUACAGAAAGACGCGGGUUCAAUUCCCCUCCAAUGUC